Molecule: ribosomal RNA, 572 nt
Filed under: Limnonectes cf. sisikdagu ENS18732
Lineage: Eukaryota; Metazoa; Chordata; Amphibia; Anura; Dicroglossidae
Description: partial large subunit ribosomal RNA
Rfam family: Bacterial large subunit ribosomal RNA
Source: RNAcentral
ACAUCGCCUCUUGAUCAAUCAUAAGAGGUCCAGCCUGCCCAGUGACAUAGUUUAACGGCCGCGGUACCCUGACCGUGCGAAGGUAGCAUAAUCACUUGUUCUUUAAAUAAGGACUCGUAUCAACGGCAUCACGAGGGUUACACUGUCUCCCCUCUCUAAUCAGUGAAACUGACUUCCCCGUGAAGAGGCGGGGAUACAACUACAAGACGAGAAGACCCCAUGGAGCUUUAAACCCAGUGACAACCCCUAUCAACUAUAGCCUAAAAAUUAACUGGCCCUGUCUACUGGUUUUAGGUUGGGGUGACCAAGGAGUAAAACUUAACCUCCAAGACGAACGGUCUUAUCCUAAUCCAAGAGCUACUGCUCUAAGAAUCAAAAAUUUGACGUAAUAUGAUCCGGCAACCGAUCAACGAACCAAGUUACCCUGGGGAUAACAGCGCAAUCCAUUUCAAGAGCCCCUAUCGACAAAUGGGUUUACGACCUCGAUGUUGGAUCAGGGUAUCCCAGUGGUGCAGCCGCUACUAAAGGUUUGUUUGUUCAACAAUUAAAACCCUACGUGAUCUGAGUUCAGA